GAUGAACGCUGGCGGCGUGCCUAAUACAUGCAAGUCGAGCGAACAGACGAGGAGCUUGCUCCUCUGACGUUAGCGGCGGACGGGUGAGUAACACGUGGAUAACCUACCUAUAAGACUGGGAUAACUUCGGGAAACCGGAGCUAAUACCGGAUAAUAUAUUGAACCGCAUGGUUCAAUAGUGAAAGACGGUUUUGCUGUCACUUAUAGAUGGAUCCGCGCCGCAUUAGCUAGUUGGUAAGGUAACGGCUUACCAAGGCAACGAUGCGUAGCCGACCUGAGAGGGGGAUCGGCCACACUGGAACUGAGACACGGUCCAGACUCCUGAGAGAGGCAGGAGUAGUGAGUCUUCCGCAAUGGGCGAAAGCCUGACGGAGCAACGCCGCGUGAGUGAUGAAGGUCUUCGGAUCGUAAAACUCUGUUAUAGUGAAGAACAAAUGUGUAAGUAACUAUGCACGUCUUGACGGUACCUAAUCAGAAAGCCACGGCUAACUACGUG
Molecule: ribosomal RNA, 496 nt
Filed under: uncultured bacterium
Lineage: Bacteria
Description: partial 16S ribosomal RNA
Rfam family: Bacterial small subunit ribosomal RNA
Source: RNAcentral